This 397-nucleotide unclassified non-coding RNA is filed under the name fungal sp. RNAcentral's name for it is "partial internal transcribed spacer region". The stretch from base 1 to 46 matches the Rfam family "Eukaryotic small subunit ribosomal RNA", at positions 1786 to 1831 of the family's 1831-position model. The record is from RNAcentral. Lineage: Eukaryota; Fungi.
AAGUCGUAACAAGGUUUCCGUAGGUGAACCUGCGGAAGGAUCAUUAACACGUAUCCACGUAUUAAUCAACCGAGAAUAGUUUUCAACUCCUCCCUCCUAAGGAUCAUGAGUGGGCCAGCUUCCGAGAUAGAGUGGGCUCUAACGAGCGCUUGGGGCAUCGCUUAAAGACUGACGCUUAAACAACAAGCCAGUACCACUGAAUUUCACAAGAGGCAACCUUCUAGACUGCCAAGUGAUCCAGCUCUCUACCCAAUGGUCUAGAUCUAACCAUCACCACAAACACCAACCUUUUUGCUAGUUGACUUUCAAUUGUGAGUCUGUCCGCAAGGAACGGCUUACACGUUUGAUUAUUUGAACGUUAAAAUUACAACUCUUAGCAAUGGAUAUCUUGGUUCUC